Molecule: long non-coding RNA, 1944 nt
Organism: Dermacentor albipictus
Lineage: Eukaryota; Metazoa; Arthropoda; Arachnida; Ixodida; Ixodidae
Source: RefSeq, a predicted model, not a curated record
CCUGGGACCCGGUUUGCAUGGUGAUGCCUGGUGAUGCCUUGUUUCCGGCUCCCUUCGGACACACUGCUACUGUGACAUUUACAGCAUCGUAUCAAGUUGGCCUGACAUGACCCCUGUUGCAACCAUAUCGCUCUUGCGGUUUGACUCGGCAACGCCCAACGUGAUCCAUCUUGAUGAAUGUUUCGGCAAUCCUGCAACUCCAGCUACCUCCCAGGAACAGCAUAAAUUGGGACAACGCCUGCUUCCACCCUUUAGUGGGCCCAGUGGCACGGCAAGGCGCAUGAUGCUAACUUUCGUGCUCUACUUUGUACAGCAUGCCCAGUUCAAGUCCUGCUUGUUCACCGUGGCUCGGCUAUGCCGGAAAUCAAGAUAACCGAACGAGAACAUUGCAACAUUGCCCAAUGGUGCAAUACAUGGGGGAUGGAAAUAAAUCUCUCCAAGACAGCGUCCAUCAGCCUAACCAAGAAAAUUACCUUUACCAUUUACGUACAAUCUUAAAGGCUUGAAUAUUACACAAGUCGACAAAGUAAAAUGCUUGGGUGUCACAUUCUCGCAAGACUUCAAAUGGGAUAAGCACAUUACCGAUACAUGUGCCAAAGAAUCCAAGCAACUAGGGUUUCUGCGCAGAACACUGAGUAAAGCACCUCAGCCUGUAAAAUUAACUGCCUGUAAAACUCUGGUCCGACCUAUUCUAGAAUACGGAAGCAUGCUGUGGGACCCUCAUCAAAAGUACCUUUGCAAUAAGCUUGAAAGAUUACAGAAUAGAGCUCUUAGGUUUAUCUAUUCAAAGUAUUCUUGGCACGAAAGUGCAAUGAACAUGCGCAAUGAAGCGCAUUUGGCAACUCUUUCCUGCCGGUGUUAUGUUGCAUCUAUGAAGUUUUUGUCUCCUCCUUUACGGACACAUCAAAAUAAGAAAAGACUAUAAUCAUCUGCCUGGCCGUCGGUCUAAUAGGACAAGCCACGAUAAGUGCAUCCGGCCAUUUAGUACGCAUUGAUACAUUUCAGUUUUCCUAUUUCCCUCGCGCUGUGAACGCUUGGAAUGAGCUACCAAGCAAAGCUGUAAAUAAUCCAAAUUUAGAUCAGUUUUGUUCACUAGUAGAGCAGCUAAUGGACCCUGUAUAACUACUUUUCCAGCUGUAAAACAGCAUAAAGUAUCUUGUAGUGUUAUGUUGCUUACGUUUGUACAUUUCACUUCUCAUGUAUAGCAUACAAUCUAUAAUACUAGAUUUUCUCUUCUCAUGUACGCAAAGUGCAACUAUGUAGAUAAUAUAAUAUUGAUGCACUUGUUGAAAAGUGUUCCGAUCUACCUCAUGUUUUCCUGUUGUCUUUUUAGGAACUUGUUGCAUCUUAUUACAUGCCUAUGAUGAGGUAAGCCCACUCUCUGUAUGGGUCUGCAGAAGACCUGCAGUAUUGAUAAAUAAUAAAAAAAAAAUCACUUUUCAGUUAGUCCUAACCAUAGACUAAAACAUGAGGAUGCGAGUGGUAGGGAAGCUACUACUCCUAUGUAUGGCACAAAGCAAAACUGUGUGGCUUGUUAAAGACAGAAAGGAAAAAAAUUAAUUGAUUACUGUUGUAUCUUGUAACCAGCAGUGGGCCACACUUGUGGACGCUCCAGCGCGACCAUCACAGUAUAGAUAGCCUACCCAAGCAGGGGGGCGUGCCUUCAGAUAUUAUGUGAUGUACCGGCCAGUCGUCGUCAAUAAACCUCUUGCGCAACUGUCGUUUCCUUAAUAAUGGCGACCAAGAUCGGAUGAACCGUCUGUCCUGAUUCAAGCAGCAAGCAGCAGUAGAAAUCAUGGACAAUGAUCUGCCACCGUCCUCUAGCCACCAACCAUUCAUCGGGCGCCUGAUGGAAUUCUGUACCACGACAGGCAACAUAGCUAUCUACUUUGAGCGGUUUGAGGCUUUUGCGAGGGUUAAUGAGCUGUUACGAGAACAAAGAAA